This 315-nucleotide unclassified non-coding RNA is filed under the name plant metagenome. Its description in RNAcentral is "partial contains 5.8S ribosomal RNA, internal transcribed spacer 2, and large subunit ribosomal RNA". The stretch from base 1 to 105 matches the Rfam family "5.8S ribosomal RNA", at positions 50 to 154 of the family's 154-position model. The record is from RNAcentral.
GAACUGCGAUAAGUAAUGUGAAUUGCAGAAUUCAGUGAAUCAUCGAGUCUUUGAACGCACAUUGCGCCCCCUGGCAUUCCGGGGGGCAUGCCUGUCCGAGCGUCAUUGCUGCCCUUCAAGCCCGGCUUGUGUGUUGGGUCGUCGUCCCCUCCGGGGGACGGGCCCGAAAGGCAGCGGCGGCACCGCGUCCGGUCCUCGAGCGUAUGGGGCUUUGUCACCCGCUCGAUAAGGACCGGCCGGGCGCCAGCCGGCGUCUCCAACCUUUUUUUCUCAGGUUGACCUCAGAUCAGGUAGGGAUACCCGCUGAACUUAAGC